GAAGGAUUUUGAGUAAAAAGGGCAGAAGAAUUGGCUAUGGAUUUGGAGGAGCUUAAGCAGCUUCAAAGCAUCGCUAAGAGGCCACGUAUUUGAUCUCUUAUUUCCUCUGAGAUUAGCAACUUGGAAAAGACAUUGAAAGAGGAUGCAAAUGGACCUUCUCCUGCUGUUGUUCCACAAAUUCUAGUUCC
Long non-coding RNA from Hibiscus syriacus, 188 nucleotides. RefSeq lists it as uncharacterized. The record is from RefSeq and is a predicted model, not a curated record. The transcript has 3 exons. NCBI's taxonomy places the organism in Eukaryota, Viridiplantae, Streptophyta, Magnoliopsida, Malvales, Malvaceae.